GUACGGGAGGCAGCAGUGGGGAAUAUUGGGCAAUGGGCGAAAGCCUGACCCAGCCAUGCCGCGUGAGUGAUGAAGGCCUUCGGGUCGUAAAGCUCUGUGGGGAGGGACGAAAAGACCUUGGCUAAUAUCCAAGGGAACUGACGGUACCUCCUUAGCAAGCACCGGCUAACUCCGUGCCAGCAGCCGCGGUAAUACGGAGGGUGCAAACGUUGCUCGGAAUCAUUGGGCGUAAAGCGCACGUAGGCGGCGCGUUAAGUCGGGUGUGAAAGCCCUGGGCUCAACCCAGGAAGUGCAUUCGAAACUGGCGCGCUUGAAUAUGGAAGAGGGUCGCGGAAUUCCCGGUGUAGAGGUGAAAUUCGUAGAUAUCGGGAGGAACACCAGUGGCGAAGGCGGCGACCUGGGCCAAUAUUGACGCUGAGGUGCGAAAGCGUGGGGAGCAAACAGGAUUAGAUACCCCGGU
This 460-nucleotide ribosomal RNA is filed under the name uncultured bacterium. Its description in RNAcentral is "bacterial SSU rRNA". It matches the Rfam family "Bacterial small subunit ribosomal RNA", at positions 339 to 791 of the family's 1533-position model. The record is from RNAcentral.